GACGAACGCUGGCGGCGUGCCUAAUACAUGCAAGUCGAGCGCAGGAAACUGACGGAACUCUUCGGAGGGAAGGCAGUGGAAUGAGCGGCGGACGGGUGAGUAACACGUAAGGAACCUGCCUCAAGGAUUGGGAUAACUCCGAGAAAUCGGAGCUAAUACCGGAUAGUUCAACGGACCGCAUGGUCCGCUGAUGAAAGGCGCUCCGGCGUCACCUUGAGAUGGCCUUGCGGUGGAUUAGGUAGUUGGUGGGGUAACGGCCCACCAAGGCGACGAUGCAUAGCCGACCUGAGAGGGUGAUCGGCCACACUGGGACUGAGACACGGCCCAGACUCCUACGGGAGGCAGCAGUAGGGAAUCUUCCACAAUGGACGAAAGUCUGAUGGAGCAACGCCGCGUGAGUGAUGAAGGUUUUCGGAUCGUAAAACUCUGUUGUAAGGGAAGAACACGUACGAGAGGAAAUGCUCGUACCUUGACGGUACCUUACGAGAAAGCCACGGCUAACUACGUGCCAGCCGCCGCCGUAA
Molecule: ribosomal RNA, 524 nt
Filed under: uncultured bacterium
Lineage: Bacteria
Description: partial 16S ribosomal RNA
Rfam family: Bacterial small subunit ribosomal RNA
Source: RNAcentral